Molecule: ribosomal RNA, 497 nt
Filed under: uncultured bacterium
Lineage: Bacteria
Description: partial 16S ribosomal RNA
Rfam family: Bacterial small subunit ribosomal RNA
Source: RNAcentral
GAUGAACGCUGGCGGCGUGCCUAAUACAUGCAAGUCGAGCGAACGGACGAGAAGCUUGCUUCUCUGAUGUUAGCGGCGGACGGGUGAGUAACACGUGGAUAACCUACCUAUAAGACUGGGAUAACUUCGGGAAACCGGAGCUAAUACCGGAUAAUAUUUUGAACCGCAUGGUUCAAAAGUGAAAGACGGUCUUGCCGUCACUUAUAGAUGGAUCCGCGCUGCAUUAGCUAGUUGGUAAGGUAACGGCUUACCAAGGCAACGAUGCAUAGCCGACCUGAGAGGGGGAACGGCCACACUGGAAAUGAGAAACGGUUCAAACUCCCACGGGGAGGAGGAGGAGGGAAUCUUCCGCAAAGGGGGGAAGCCUGACGGGACAAACGCCGGGGGGGGGUUAAGGGUCUUCGAUUGGAAAACCUCUUUUUUUGGGAAAAAAAAUAUGGGAAAUAAACUGGGACAAUUUUAAGGGAACUAAUAAAAAAGCCCCGGGUAAAUUCCGU